This 73-nucleotide transfer RNA is filed under the name Camelus bactrianus (Bactrian camel). It matches the Rfam family "tRNA". From Rfam's summary of the family: Transfer RNA (tRNA) molecules are approximately 80 nucleotides in length. Their secondary structure includes four short double-helical elements and three loops (D, anti-codon, and T loops). Further hydrogen bonds mediate the characteristic L-shaped molecular structure. tRNAs have two regions of fundamental functional importance: the anti-codon, which is responsible for specific mRNA codon recognition, and the 3' end, to which the tRNAs corresponding amino acid is attached (by aminoacyl-tRNA synthetases). tRNAs cope with the degeneracy of the genetic code in two manners: having more than one tRNA (with a specific anti-codon) for a particular amino acid; and 'wobble' base-pairing, i.e. permitting non-standard base-pairing at the 3rd anti-codon position. Lineage: Eukaryota; Metazoa; Chordata; Mammalia; Artiodactyla; Camelidae. The record is from Rfam by way of RNAcentral. RNAcentral also lists the same sequence under 2 other names.
GAGGGUAUAGCUCAAGUGGUAGAGCACGUGCUUAGCCUGCAUGGGGUCCUGGGUUCAAUCCCCAGUGCCUCCU